GUAUUUCAAUGCGAUUAUCGCAGGUAUACAUUCUUAUACUGAUGUUUGUUAUGAAUACAUAGAUAGACUAGCAGAGUCACCAUAGGUAACCCCACUGUAUGUCAAUCUAUGAGAAGUGCACAGAGGUGUGUGGAUGAAUUAACAAAGUGUGCACAUGCCGAAAAAGGCCAGCGACAACCUUGUUGCUAAAUUCAUUAAUGAUCCUUCCGCAGGUUCACCUACGGAAA
RNAcentral lists this unclassified non-coding RNA (227 nucleotides) under uncultured fungus. Its description in RNAcentral is "sequence contains ITS1". Lineage: Eukaryota; Fungi. The record is from RNAcentral.